UUAUCUCUGUAGAGUCUGCAUAUCAAUAAGCGGAGGAAAAGAAACUAACUAGGAUUCCCUCAGUAACGGCGAGUGAAGCGGGAAGAGCUCAAAUUUGAAAUCUUCAAGGUUCUACCUUGACGAAUUGUAGUUUAAAGAAGUGUUCUCUGUUGGAGUUUUGGUAAAAGUUCUUUGGAAUAGGACAUCAUAGAGGGUGAGAAUCCCGUAUUUGACCAUUAUUUCCAGCUUUGUGAUACACUUUCAAAGAGUCGGAUUGUUUGGGAAUGCAGUCCAAAAUGGGUGGUAAAUUUCAUCUAAAGCUAAAUACUGGCGAGAGACCGAUAGCGAACAAGUACCGUGAGGGAAAGAUGAAAAGAACUUUGAAAAGAGAGUUAAACAGUACGUGAAAUUGUCAAAAGGGAAGCGUUUGACACCAGUGUUGUUUUCUCGAAAAUCAAUUAAAAAAGGCAGGAUUUUGUGUUGUAUUGACUUUAUCAGCUUUCUGCACUCUUUUCUUGUCUCUUUUUAAUGCACUUUUCGUUUAACAAGUCAACAUCAAUUUCUUUUGUUGUAAAAGGGUCAUUGGAAGGUGGCUUUCUUUUCGGAGAAAGUGUUUAUAGCCUUUGGCCUCUGCAAUCGGAGAGAUUGAGGUCUGCAGCGUAGAUCCUUCGGGGUUAGAUACAUUUGUGCUAAGUUAUAGCCUUUCAUAGACAGCUUGUUGACUAUGAGCAGUCAUGUAGCUUACUCGCUUAUGCUAUUUUACCUACGCUUAGGAUGUUGAAGAUGUAGCACAUCAU
This 776-nucleotide ribosomal RNA is filed under the name uncultured Neocallimastigales. RNAcentral describes it as "partial large subunit ribosomal RNA". It matches the Rfam family "Eukaryotic large subunit ribosomal RNA", at positions 24 to 635 of the family's 3401-position model. The record is from RNAcentral. Lineage: Eukaryota; Fungi; Neocallimastigomycota; Neocallimastigomycetes; Neocallimastigales.